GACGAACGCUGGCGGCGUGCUUAACACAUGCAAGUCGAACGGAAAGGCCCUGCUUUUGUGGGGUGCUCGAGUGGCGAACGGGUGAGUAACACGUGAGUAACCUGCCCUUGACUUUGGGAUAACUUCAGGAAACUGGGGCUAAUACCGGAUAGGAGCUCCUGCUGCAUGGUGGGGGUUGGAAAGUUUCGGCGGUUGGGGAUGGACUCGCGGCUUAUCAGCUUGUUGGUGGGGUAGUGGCUUACCAAGGCUUUGACGGGUAGCCGGCCUGAGAGGGUGACCGGCCACAUUGGGACUGAGAUACGGCCCAGACUCCUACGGGAGGCAGCAGUGGGGAAUAUUGCACAAUGGGCGGAAGCCUGAUGCAGCAACGUCGUGUGCGGGAUGACGGCCUUCGGGUUGUAAACCGCUUUCGCCUGUGACGAAGCGUGAGUGACGGUAAUGGGUAAAGAAGCACCGGCUAACUACGUG
RNAcentral lists this ribosomal RNA (468 nucleotides) under uncultured bacterium. RNAcentral's name for it is "partial 16S ribosomal RNA". It matches the Rfam family "Bacterial small subunit ribosomal RNA", at positions 28 to 507 of the family's 1533-position model. The record is from RNAcentral.